This 463-nucleotide long non-coding RNA is filed under the name Homo sapiens (human). RNAcentral's name for it is "HSALNT0296349". Lineage: Eukaryota; Metazoa; Chordata; Mammalia; Primates; Hominidae. The record is from RNAcentral.
AUCUCCACCAUCUUCCUUCAAGCACGUGGACCGACACCCAGGCCUCCUGGUGUCCUGACACUGCAGACUCCUGGAAUAUACCUCCACCAGCAGGCAGGAAUCUGUCCUAUUCCCAGCAACCACUAGAGGCACUGCCUGACCCUACUGCGGCCACAAGCAGAGGGACCCCAGGAUUCUCAAAUCUGUUACCUUGUCUCACCUCCCCUAGGAAGCAGAAGAGUGCUAUGAAAAUCUUUAGCUGCUGAUCACAGCUAUAAACGAGAUGAGGAGGGUCCCUGUCCUCUUGGUGUUUCCAGUCUCCCAAAGAAGACAGACAUGAAACAAUGAUGGUUACAGUUCAAGAUGGAGGUACUAUCUGAGCUUAUGGCAAGGGGUUUUAAUCUCAUCCAAAGGGCCAAGGAAUGCCUCUUUAAAGAAGAGAGAACAAAUAAAAAUCAUUCAUAAUUCCAUCACCUAUAAAUAA